Molecule: long non-coding RNA, 898 nt
Organism: Ostrinia nubilalis (European corn borer)
Lineage: Eukaryota; Metazoa; Arthropoda; Insecta; Lepidoptera; Crambidae
Exons: 2
Source: RefSeq, a predicted model, not a curated record
UUAUUGUAUAAUAGGUACUUUUGUUAAAACAUAUUCUUGUUGUUAUCACGCCAAGUGAUUUGAGAUCUUCAAAUGUUAAAUAAAUGAUUGACGAUGUUAAAGAAUAGCUAAAUAGUUAGAUUAUUAAGUUACUCCUCAAAGUUUUAGACACGAAAAAAGUUCAUGGUCACGCCCCGUGGCUAUGUUUGUAUUAAAAUUAGCUUAAAAUUUCUGCAAAAUCCUUACAGCAAGUUUCUUGAUAUGGUAUUUUAGAGCAAUCAAAUUGUCAAGAAGCCAGACCGGUUCAAAACUAAACCACUCAGUAAUGUUUUUCCGGUACAAGAAUAAACUGGAAUCCAGAUUGUUCCUAAGGAAUUUUUAUCUAUGCUAAUGAUACAACUUUAAAAAUUUUUAUCGACUGUUUUAAAACUGGUAUCGAUUAUGUAAUACUUUGAGGUGAGAAAUGUUCUUUUAAUAUGUUUACUAUUUAAGUUUUAUUGAUAUAAAUAAUAAAAUUCACUCUUGGUAAUGUGAUUUUUAAAAUUAUAUUGUGAUGUAGAUACUAGAUACUGCACUAUUUGGAUUAUAUGCAACGUUAUUAUGUAAGUGCAGUACCGCUUUUUCACAAGAAAGUGUAGUUACGUGAAAUUGGAGAUUGUGGAUGUAUUUCGAUGUAGAUCAAACAGAGAAAUUGUAAUCGUCAAAAAUUAAUCUUAUUUGAUUAUUAUGUUUAUCAUUCGAUUGUCCGAAUUACUGUACGACUCGUGAUGUAGUCACUUUGGUUUGUUGAUAUUAAUAUUUAAGUAAUUGUAAUCUCUUGAGACUGAUACUGUGACGGUUAGUGAUCAAAUAAUUAAGCUGUAAUUAAACGUAGUACGAGCCGAAUAUUGAAUUAUUGCAAUAAAGUGUUUAUUCUUCA